RNAcentral lists this ribosomal RNA (450 nucleotides) under uncultured bacterium. RNAcentral's name for it is "bacterial SSU rRNA". It matches the Rfam family "Bacterial small subunit ribosomal RNA", at positions 328 to 792 of the family's 1533-position model. The record is from RNAcentral.
UCACCAGACUCCUACGGGAGGCAGCAGUGGGGAAUAUUGGGCAAUGGGCGCAAGCCUGACCCAGCAACGCCGCGUGAAGGAAGAAGGCUUUCGGGUUGUAAACUUCUUUUGUCAGGGACGAAGCAAGUGACGGUACCUGACGAAUAAGCCACGGCUAACUACGUGCCAGCAGCCGCGGUAAUACGUAGGUGGCAAGCGUUAUCCGGAUUUAUUGGGUGUAAAGGGCGUGUAGGCGGGAAUGCAAGUCAGAUGUGAAAACUAUGGGCUCAACCCAUAGCCUGCAUUUGAAACUGUUUUUCUUGAGUACUGGAGAGGCAGACGGAAUUCCUAGUGUAGCGGUGAAAUGCGUAGAUAUUAGGAGGAACACCAGUGGCGAAGGCGGUCUGCUGGACAGCAACUGACGCUGAGGAGCGAAAGCGUGGGUAGCAAACAGGAUUAGAUACCCGAGUA